This 244-nucleotide ribosomal RNA is filed under the name uncultured bacterium. RNAcentral's name for it is "partial small subunit ribosomal RNA". It matches the Rfam family "Bacterial small subunit ribosomal RNA", at positions 26 to 285 of the family's 1533-position model. The record is from RNAcentral.
AGAAUCAACGCUGGCGGCGUGCCUAACACAUGCAAGUCGAACGAGAAAGUGGAGCAAUCCAUGAGUAAAGUGGCGACCGGGUGAGUAACACGUGACUAACCUACCUUCGAGUGGGGGAUAACCUCGGGAAACCGAGGCUAAUACCGCAUAACAUCGCAAGAUCAAAGCAGUCAAUGCGCUGGAAGAGGGGGUCGCGGCUGAUUAGCUAGUUGGCGGGGUAACGCCCACAAGGCGAAGAUCGGUA